This 216-nucleotide ribosomal RNA is filed under the name Glomeromycotina sp. Its description in RNAcentral is "partial small subunit ribosomal RNA". The stretch from base 40 to 216 matches the Rfam family "Eukaryotic small subunit ribosomal RNA", at positions 686 to 864 of the family's 1831-position model. The record is from RNAcentral. Lineage: Eukaryota; Fungi; Glomeromycota.
GGGUCAGUAGGUUGGUCGUGCCACCGGUACGUACUGGUCUCACUGCUUCCUCCUUCCUGAAGAACCGUAAUGCCAUUAAUUUGGUGUUGCGGGGAAACAGGACUGUUACUUUGAAAAAAUUAGAGUGUUUAAAGCAAGCUAACGCUUGAAUACAUUAGCAUGGAAUAAUGAAAUAGGACGAUCGAUCCUAUUUUGUUGGUUUCUAGGAUUGACGUA